Molecule: non-coding RNA, 30 nt
Filed under: Mus musculus (house mouse)
Lineage: Eukaryota; Metazoa; Chordata; Mammalia; Rodentia; Muridae
Source: RNAcentral
UAUUAUUAUUUUGCAUAUUUUCUGGUGUUU